ACGGAAGGCAGCAGUGGGGAAUAUUGGACAAUGGGCGAAAGCCUAAUCCAGCGACGCCGCGUGAGUGAAGAAGUAUUUCGGUAUGUAAAGCUCUAUCAGCAGGGAAGAUAAUGACGGUACCUGACUAAGAAGCCCCGGCUAACUACGUGCCAGCAGCCGCGGUAAUACGUAGGGGGCAAGCGUUAUCCGGAUUUACUGGGUGUAAAGGGAGCGUAGACGGUAUGGCAAGUCUGAUGUGAAAACCCAGGGCUCAACCCUGGGACUGCAUUGGAAACUGUCAAACUAGAGUGCAGGAGAGGUAAGUGGAAUUCCUAGUGUAGCGGUGAAAUGCGUAGAUAUUAGGAGGAACACCAGUGGCGAAGGCGGCUUACUGGACUGUAACUGACGUUGAGGCUCGAAAGCGUGGGGAGCAAACAGGAUUAGAUACCCUGGUA
RNAcentral lists this ribosomal RNA (434 nucleotides) under uncultured Clostridium sp. RNAcentral's name for it is "partial 16S ribosomal RNA". It matches the Rfam family "Bacterial small subunit ribosomal RNA", at positions 341 to 792 of the family's 1533-position model. Lineage: Bacteria; Bacillati; Bacillota; Clostridia; Eubacteriales; Clostridiaceae. The record is from RNAcentral.